GGAAGAGGAAUGUCUCCUCAUCUCAAAUUCUAUCAACUGCAGAAGUAAGACAUCUGUAAUCCAUGGAUCCCACAAGAUGUGUGGAUUUCAGGGAUCUGCCACAGGCCCAUGUGGGAGAGAAUCUGAAGACGCUCAGACAGUUCCUCCACCCUGCCACCUCCAGAAAUAGACUGCAAAUCUCAGAGAAUUCCUCCUUUCAGAGGGUGCAGAUUCCUCUCUGUGCAUGGACCCAGAGAGGAACAUGGCGCUUUGAGGAGGAUUUUUGAGGAGCGUGUUUCAAAGAUUUCCCGUUGCCAACCAUCAAUGAGAAUAAAGCCUGCAACCCUUUUUAUCUUCAUUCUGCUGCUGUUUCCAUCUUUUUUUCUUUUUUCUUUUUUUCCUCCUCCUAAAGAUCAUUUGCCAGCAUCGCUUUCUCAGUUUUAC
This is a long non-coding RNA of Mauremys mutica (yellowpond turtle), 423 nucleotides long. RefSeq lists it as uncharacterized. The record is from RefSeq and is a predicted model, not a curated record. NCBI's taxonomy places the organism in Eukaryota, Metazoa, Chordata, Testudines, Geoemydidae. The transcript has 3 exons.